This is a long non-coding RNA of Bubalus bubalis (water buffalo), 1325 nucleotides long. RefSeq lists it as uncharacterized. The transcript has 6 exons. The record is from RefSeq and is a predicted model, not a curated record. NCBI's taxonomy places the organism in Eukaryota, Metazoa, Chordata, Mammalia, Artiodactyla, Bovidae.
UUCUUUCUCCUUUCUGCUCGCUUUGUUUACUUUAAGUUCUCACUGCUGUUCGGAAGGACUACACAGAACUUGCUUCUUGGGCCACUCGCAACACACAGGUCAGAGCGCUCUUACAGAAAACAGGGAAAAAACAUGCUACCAAGAAGGAGAAAACUCAGUGAGAGUCCUGCCCUCCUUGGGUGAGAUCCGAGAAGCCAGAGCAGGCAAGGAGAGGUGGCCGGUUUCUGGAUCUGCGCUUCUGAGAACCACAUCCCAUGAAUAACAACCACAGAACAGUUGUGAAUGUCCUCACUCUGUGAUCAACCAAACACCAAGGGAAGGUUGUGGAGUGUUCAGAUCCUGCUGCCUGGAGCUGCUUGCUGUGGCAUUCAAGGCUCACUGUCCACACAGACACAGGAGGGAGGACACGGAGUCACCCUUGUGGUCUCCUGAAGGUCCCGUUCAUAUGAGGCGAUCUAGACAUAUAUUCUUACUAGAAACAGAGAUGGAUUAAAGGAAUUCUUUCCACAGUCUCCUACGUCCUUAUCAUUGCUGCAUAAGGGAUUACAUUAAGAAAAGAGGUGCAGAUGUGGAGCAGAGCAGAAAGAUCAGCCUCCGGGCUGCUCUUGCCCGUCAGAGCUGGGACGUCCUGGGACUGUCUUCUGGCUUCCCCGCUCACCAUCACCUUUGCUGGUGAGAAGACACUAAGACUAACCGUGCUGGACCCCCGGGGUUCACAGUUUGUCUCGAUGGCUGCAUUUAUUUAGUGUUGACUCUAAGCUUCACAAGAUUCUUCUAAGGAUGUGUUUUAUUAGCAGUCCAUUUCACAGAGAAGAAAACCAUGCCUGAGAGAGAUUAUGAAGUUUGUCCAAGGCCAUUCAGCUGGCGCUUCUCUUUGAAGAGAGACCUCUUGCCCUUGGAGUGUCAAGAUAAGAAAACUUUCAGCAACUUCCCUUGGAAACUACAAAACACCCAUCAGCACCCAGGAUCUAAGUACAGUCGCUCACCAGCUGCCAGCCCCUCUGAAUAGCUUUUAUGGUUCAGUGAAGGGUGGUGACAGGGCCGUGUCACUACCGUGGGGUGUGCUGUUUCUUUCAUGUUCCCAGGAUCUGACAAGAGCCUUCCACAACCUGUUUCUUUACAACACACGGAAUGAGAGAUUAAAGACCAGUACCAGACGUAAAGCUGGGGUUGGGACUAGCAACGAUCUCUCUCCAGAUGCAUUCUAAAUCUUUCUGGGAAAGAAGGGCUGCUGACCGCCCUAAGCAGAUGGUGUUCAAAAGCUGUCAUGAUGAUUAAAUGAGAUAAUACAUGUAAAAUACGUAUGACGUAGUAAACAUCCACAA